AACGCACCUUGCGCCCCUUGGUUAUUCCUCGGGGCAUGCCUGUUUGAGUAUCAUGAACACCUCAACUCUCAUGGUCUUCCAUGAUGAGCUUGGACUUUGGGGGUUUGCUGGCUCUGCGGCCGGCUCCUCUCAAACGAAUCAGCUUGCCAGUGUUUGGCGGCGUCACGGGUGUGAUAACUAUCUACGCUCGCGGUCGUCUGCCAGGUAACCCUCAGCAAUGAAGGUUCAUUGGGGCUCAUAAACGUCUCUCCCCAGGAGGACAACUUUUGAACGUUCGAUCUCAAAUCAGGUAGGACUACCCGCUGAACUUAA
RNAcentral lists this unclassified non-coding RNA (312 nucleotides) under uncultured Thelephoraceae. Its description in RNAcentral is "sequence contains ITS2". The record is from RNAcentral. Lineage: Eukaryota; Fungi; Basidiomycota; Agaricomycetes; Thelephorales; Thelephoraceae.